CCGGGCUCCCAGCACCGCCACCAGCACCAGAACCAGGGCGCAGCUCCUCGGGGGGCCCGCGGCCGCCCCCAGCCCAUGGGGGGCACCUGCAACACACACACACACACACACGGUUCAGGAGACAGCGUGGUUAAUUCGCAGCCUUUUCCAACCUGAGACCCAAAUAUUUCACAGCUGAAAGCAAUCUCUCCCCCUGACCCUCAACCCAGGUUGGAGGAAGAAGUCCUUGGAAAGCAAUGCAGAUGCAGGAGGACUUGCCAGGAAACAUUAAAAACAUCACAACUCACUUCAGAAGCAUUCAGUGGAUGCAGAGCUGCAAGGAAAAUGGUUUAAGGGAUGCAACAGGUGGGCAGAUUGUUGACAACAGAGAGGGAAGAAGCCCAGAGCACCAACAGGUCACUGAUUAUCGCUGUAAUUAACAAGAUCAUUAAUUAAACAUGGAUAAACUGACUGCACACAUGUGGGUGUCAUCAUUUCCCCCCACACCACUGGGAAUGAAAAUACCAUUUUCUUUCCUUUGAGAGUAAUAGGCAACAUCAAGGACAACAGACACACCUGCGGUGCUGACCAUCCUCUGCUGCUCUGUCACAAGGUCUCACAACAACUUCAAACUCUUCUGGGCCACAACAUAGAAUCCAAUUGUAGAAUGGCCUGGAUUGAAAUGGACCACAAUGAUCAUCUGGUUUCAAUCCCCUGCUGUGUGCAGGGUC
Coturnix japonica (Japanese quail) is the source of this 710-nucleotide non-coding RNA. NCBI's taxonomy places the organism in Eukaryota, Metazoa, Chordata, Aves, Galliformes, Phasianidae. The record is from RefSeq and is a predicted model, not a curated record.